ACCUCAUAAAAUUUAGCAUCGUCAAAUAUUAUAAAGUUACUCAAGGUACUUCUCACAAAACCAAUACAACAGGCACCAAGUCUUAUGAGCCCAUAAAAAUUAUAUAUUGCUAUAGAAUCAGUGUCGUUCGGCACAAAGAAAGUUUACUUUCUCCUAACAGCUAAGCUACUCCACAGAAUCCCUCCUUCAAUAUUCAUAAAUGGAGCAACCUUCACUCGCAAUCUUCGAUCAUCAUAAUUCUUAAAUAAAAAAUGGACUACUUUUUUUUUUUUUAAAUAACUCAAUAUACGCCAUAAAAUCCCCAAAAGAGUUCAUUUCUGUCCCAACGUUAUUUCCACAAAAUCAGUCAAUAUUUAUCUCCAAGCUAGUAACAAUACCCAUCACUGCUGAUUAUCAAGUCCUACUACAACAAACUACAGUUUAUUCCAAACAAAUUUGAUGUUGGUUACAUGAACCCACUUUUGUCAUUCAACUCAGGCCAUCGCUACAUCUAAUGGAAGGUCCGAUACUACACUUAGCUUAUGAACAAGUAAUUCCUACAAAAAUACAAAACUUAAAUCACUAUUGUUUCAUAGAUCCUCAGGCGCUCAAAAGUACAUCAGGCUGGAAGCUUCUUCCCUAAUCAUCUCACUGAAUCCCACAAUGGCUAGUUCUACUUGUGUUCUACUAUCCUGAAAAUCAUUGGUAUAACAACCAUCUUAAAAAGAAGAUACCAUGGCUUCAUAUAUAUCAGUUCCCUUUCUCCUAACCUAAGAUGCUACUCAGAUGAUUGCCGCUAGUUCUUUUGGGAUACCUUAAUUACUGGUAAAUGAAAGGCAUGGUGGCAUUCCCCAGCCUUAAAGUCCUCUAGCUUGCAUACCCUUCAACUGGUCCACAGAUAUCAUCUCUUCUCCUAACUCUGAUGUAAUUUAACCUUGUGCAAUAUUUGUUGUCAUUUAGAGAUCCAAUACAGAAUUGUAUAGGGCCAUUCCUAUUAAAGAAUAAAUUCCUAACUGCUAUUCGAAGAACUUAUUUGACCCUUGUUUGAGCCCCAUUCUUUAAAAACACAUUUUCCCCCAAAUUCAUUUUCAACCACACAUUCUCUCAAUAAAAUAACUUUACAUGUAAACCAAAAAAUUUCCUACUCUUUAA
RNAcentral lists this long non-coding RNA (1131 nucleotides) under Olea europaea (common olive). RNAcentral's name for it is "long non-coding RNA (OEUR_LNC000721)". The record is from RNAcentral. Lineage: Eukaryota; Viridiplantae; Streptophyta; Magnoliopsida; Lamiales; Oleaceae.